UCCUGGCAGUUGAAUGAUAGUCCUCUUGCCCGCUUGUAAUAGCUGCCAAUCUUCAGAUGUCACUGCUGCUUCCCCAUCUGUAUGCUCUUUGCAUAUCACCUUUCCUCCUACAUACAGUAUACCCCUCCCCACUCUGUCUUAGUAUUUGUUUUUAUAAGCUAAGAGCUUGGGCAGGGGAGGCUACCUCUAGACUUUGGCCCGUCCUUGAAAACGCCAGGGUGUGGCUAAAUUAUUACAGGCCAUUGGAACAUGGGCUUGGAAGCUUGUGAGUAAAGUUUGAGUUAAUGAAUGUACAGUAUGAGGGAAAUGGGGUGAGAAGCGUUUCUGCCUGGCUGCAGCUACUUUUCCCAACUUCACUCCCUCACAGGAUGCACCAAGGAGAAAAGUGAUACAGCUCUUUGAACCGUGCAAAGUAGAGACGAUCAUUCAGCAAUGCAUCUCCUGCUUCUGCAUGGCUUUCUGUCUGCUUGAUGCCACAGAGAGUAUUGGUGAUACCAGAUCCCAAACUGGUGGAUGACCUCACCCAUGGAUUUCAUGUAGAUGUUGAAUAGGAGAGGAAAGAGGAUUGAUCCCUGUGGAACACCCCAGAGGAGGAGCCUAGAGAGUGACCUCUCCUUCCCAACCAACAUUGACUGGAACCAGCCCUGAAGAAAGUGACAUCCUACAACCGAACAAUGACCUGACAAUGACAAUGAGAAGGGAGAAGGGCCAUCACAACCAUGGUUCUGUGGAAAAGGUGCCUGAAGGUAGAAGGAGGAAGACCUAUAAUGGCCACUAUGAAGCUGUUCGGCAGAACUUUUCCUCACUACUCCUGGACUAUCACCUCCAAGUGCCCGUUUCAAAGACAACAGCCAGCCCCAGAAAACUGUUCAGCUUAGCUCAGGACUGUCCUGAGGGAAGUAUGUUCUUUCUUUCUAAGAAUAUGUAUUGUAUUUAUAUGACAUUUGUUUCUUUCUUUCUUUACGCUGCUUCAGGAACAUGUUUGUCUUGAAAAUG
Molecule: long non-coding RNA, 996 nt
Organism: Python bivittatus (Burmese python)
Lineage: Eukaryota; Metazoa; Chordata; Lepidosauria; Squamata; Pythonidae
Source: RefSeq, a predicted model, not a curated record